This 433-nucleotide ribosomal RNA is filed under the name uncultured bacterium. Its description in RNAcentral is "partial 16S ribosomal RNA". It matches the Rfam family "Bacterial small subunit ribosomal RNA", at positions 29 to 507 of the family's 1533-position model. The record is from RNAcentral.
AACGAACGCUGGCGGCAUGCCUAACACAUGCAAGUCGAACGAGACCUUCGGGUCUAGUGGCGCACGGGUGCGUAACGCGUGGGAACCUGCCCUUAGGUUCGGAAUAACUCCCCGAAAGGGAUGCUAAUACCGGAUAAUGUCUUCGGACCAAAGAUUUAUCGCCUUUGGAUGGGCCCGCGUUGGAUUAGCUAGUUGGUAGGGUAAAAGCCUACCAAGGCGACGAUCCAUAGCUGGUCUGAGAGGAUGAUCAGCCACACUGGGACUGAGACACGGCCCAGACUCCUACGGGAGGCAGCAGUGGGGAAUAUUGGACAAUGGGCGAAAGCCUGAUCCAGCAAUGCCGCGUGAGUGAUGAAGGCCUUAGGGUUGUAAAGCUCUUUUACCCGGGAUGAUAAUGACAGUACCGGGAGAAUAAGCGCCGGCUAACUCUGUG